UCGAGAAUCUUCCGCAAUGGGCGAAAGCCUGACGGAGCGACACCGCGUGCAGGACGAAGGCCCUCGGGUUGUAAACUGCUGUCACGCUCUAGGAACCCCAUGUCGUGAAUAGCGGCAUGGCUGACCAAGGCGAAAGGAAGAGGCGGCUAACUCUGUGCCAGCAGCCGCGGUAAUACAGAGGCCUCGAGCGUUAGACGGAAUCACUGGGCUUAAAGCGUGUGUAGGCGGAAGGGUAAGUACCUUGUGAAAUCCCACGGCUUAACCGUGGAACGGCUUGGUAUACUGCUUUUCUUGAGCAAUCUAGGGGCGAGUGGAACAGAUGGUGGAGCGGUGAAAUGCGUAGAUAUCAUCUGGAACGCCAAUGGUGAAGACAACUCGCUGGGGAUUUGCUGACGCUGAGACACGAAAGCCAGGGGAGCGAACGGGAUUAGAUACCCCAGUAGUCCCUGAGCGGGCUGGCAAGGCGCAU
This 469-nucleotide ribosomal RNA is filed under the name uncultured bacterium. RNAcentral describes it as "bacterial SSU rRNA". It matches the Rfam family "Bacterial small subunit ribosomal RNA", at positions 355 to 825 of the family's 1533-position model. The record is from RNAcentral.